RNAcentral lists this long non-coding RNA (519 nucleotides) under Struthio camelus australis. RNAcentral's name for it is "lncRNA (ENSSCUG00000013242.1)". Lineage: Eukaryota; Metazoa; Chordata; Aves; Struthioniformes; Struthionidae. The record is from RNAcentral.
UACAGUUGGAUUUUUCUUUUUCUCUGCCUUCUAAUGCUUGUCACAUGUCUUUGUCUUUUAUCAGAACUGAAUGGUUAUCCUGACUUAGGGAAAACACAAAAGCACGGAGUUAAAUCACAGCAUGAAGUCAAGACAACUGAGCCUGAAAAUGCAAAAGAGUUAAGACAGCAGGCUCCUCUGUGUCAUGCAGGCAUUACUGUCACUGAGAAUGUCCUGGCUUCAGAUUUCUGCCUUCCUCUUUGCUGACGUGAAUCAGAUUUACCUUCUCCAAAAAAACCCACUUUACCAAAUAGCGUGAUAUUUCUGAUGACAUUAGAGUUACUCCAUACUCUUGAGAUGUGCAGAUUGAUGCUGGAUGGAGGCAUCUCCAGGGGGCUAUGCAAGAUACGCAUUGCAGUAGAGAGAAUUGUUAUUUUCUCUCCAGUGACAGUUUCAAAAUUAACAGGAAAGCUGUUAUCGUCAGCUUGUCCCCAGUACAAAAACUGCCCUGUAAGACAACACAUAGAAGCUGACAGCAAG